This 570-nucleotide long non-coding RNA is filed under the name Nicotiana benthamiana. RNAcentral describes it as "long non-coding RNA (NBEN_LNC021951)". Lineage: Eukaryota; Viridiplantae; Streptophyta; Magnoliopsida; Solanales; Solanaceae. The record is from RNAcentral.
UUUUAAAUUCAAAUGUCUUACUAAAAAUAAAUUGAGCCUCAGUCUUCUCGAACCCAUCAAAAAAUAAGCAUAAUUUAAAUGUAUAAAUCAACCCCCACAAGUAAAUUGGAAAACAGAGAAAGAAAACUAAGGUGCUCAUGUAGGGGAAAUUCCAAGAACAACAGAUAACAUUAGUUUUAUGUGCAUUAGCAGAAUUAAAACAAAGUCGUUUUUGACAUAGUUGAAAUCAAAAUAGUAAGUUGCUUAAGUAGCAUCCAUUCUCAAACAUCCCAUGAUGGAGAAUGAAUCUUCUUCCUAGUUAUAAUCCAAACAUAGGCUUAUACAUAUAAAGAGUAUCAAAUUUCAGCUCAAAUUACAGAGAAUGAGAGAGAGAAUUGAAGAUGACCUGAGUCCUAACCAUGGUUGAUGAGCCUAGUUGAAGAAGUACCCAAGAGACCCCAAAAUAUCUCCCUAAGGUAACUAACUUCUGAUGCAUUGGAACUCCAUAUCCAUUUAAUGGAGUCCUGAAAAAAGUUAAUGCAAUAUGAUAAAGCUAAACAGAAUAGUAUCCACUACCCCCACCCCCCCCCN